Molecule: ribosomal RNA, 415 nt
Filed under: uncultured bacterium
Lineage: Bacteria
Description: partial 16S ribosomal RNA
Rfam family: Bacterial small subunit ribosomal RNA
Source: RNAcentral
UGGGGAAUUUUGGACAAUGGGCGAAAGCCUGAUCCAGCAAUGCCGCGUGUGUGAAGAAGGCCUUCGGGUUGUAAAGCACUUUUGUCCGGAAAGAAAUCCUUGGCUCUAAUACGGUCGGGGGAUGACGGUACCGGAAGAAUAAGCACCGGCUAACUACGUGCCAGCAGCCGCGGUAAUACGUAGGGUGCAAGCGUUAAUCGGAAUUACUGGGCGUAAAGCGUGCGCAGGCGGUUUGCUAAGACCGAUGUGAAAUCCCCGGGCUCAACCUGGGAACUGCAUUGGUGACUGGCAGGCUAGAGUAUGGCAGAGGGGGGUAGAAUUCCACGUGUGAGCAGUGAAAUGCGUAGAGAUGUGGAGGAAUACCGAUGGCGAAGGCAGCCCCUGGGCCAAUACUGACGCUCAUGCACGAAAGCGU